RNAcentral lists this ribosomal RNA (468 nucleotides) under uncultured bacterium. RNAcentral describes it as "partial 16S ribosomal RNA". It matches the Rfam family "Bacterial small subunit ribosomal RNA", at positions 28 to 507 of the family's 1533-position model. The record is from RNAcentral.
GACGAGCGCUGGCGGCGUGCUUAACACAUGCAAGUCGAACGGGAAGGCCCUGCUUUUGUGGGGUGCUCGAGUGGCGAACGGGUGAGUAACACGUGAGUAACCUGCCCUUGACUUUGGGAUAACUUCAGGAAACUGGGGCUAAUACCGGAUAGGAGCUCCUGCUGCAUGGUGGGGGUUGGAAAGUUUCGGCGGUUGGGGAUGGACUCGCGGCUUAUCAGCUUGUUGGUGGGGUAGUGGCUUACCAAGGCUUUGACGGGUAGCCGGCCUGAGAGGGUGACCGGCCACAUUGGGACUGAGAUACGGCCCAGACUCCUACGGGAGGCAGCAGUGGGGAAUAUUGCACAAUGGGCGGAAGCCUGAUGCAGCAACGCCGCGUGCGGGAUGACGGCCUUCGGGUUGUAAACCGCUUUCGCCUGUGACGAAGCGUGAGUGACGGUAAUGGGUAAAGAAGCACCGGCUAACUACGUG